RNAcentral lists this ribosomal RNA (498 nucleotides) under uncultured bacterium. RNAcentral describes it as "partial 16S ribosomal RNA". It matches the Rfam family "Bacterial small subunit ribosomal RNA", at positions 28 to 507 of the family's 1533-position model. The record is from RNAcentral.
GACGAACGCUGGCGGCAUGCCUAACACAUGCAAGUCGAACGGAGAUUAAUUCGGUAUUCUUAGUGGCGAACUGAUUAGUAACGCGUGGGGAAACUGCCAUCCAGCCUGGCAUAACAUCCCGAACAGGGUGCUAAUACCACAUCUGAUACCACACUCGCAUGAGGCUGCUCAUCGAGAUGGCCUCUAUUUAUGCGCUAUCGCUUGAGCAAGGACCUGAGUCUGAUUAGCUAGUUGGUGGGGUAACGGCCUACCAAGGCGAUGAUCAGUAGCCGGUCUGAGAGGAUGAACGGCCACAUUGGGACUGAGACACGGCCCAGACUCCUACGGGAGGCAGCAGUGGGGAAUCUUCCGCAAUGGGCGAAAGUCUGACGGAGCAAUGCCGCGUGAGUGAUGAAGGAAUUCGUGUCGUAAAGCUCUGUUGUUUAGGACGAAAGGGCUUAUUGUGAAUAAUGAGCAGGAUUGACGGUAGUGAACGAGUAAGCCACGGCUAACUACGUG